This 2962-nucleotide ribosomal RNA is filed under the name Gordonia amicalis. Its description in RNAcentral is "partial 23S ribosomal RNA". It matches the Rfam family "Bacterial large subunit ribosomal RNA". Lineage: Bacteria; Bacillati; Actinomycetota; Actinomycetes; Mycobacteriales; Gordoniaceae. The record is from RNAcentral.
UUGUUGUAAGUGUGUAAGGGCGUUCGGUGGAUGCCUUGGUACCAGGAGCCGAUGAAGGACGUGGUAGGCCGCGAUAGUCCUCGGGGAGUUGUCAAACGAGCUGUGAUCCGAGGGUGUCCGAAUGGGGAAACCCAGCACGAGUGAUGUCGUGUUACCCACCUCUGAAUGUAUAGGGGGUGUGGAGGGAACGUGGGGAAGUGAAACAUCUCAGUACCCAUAGGAAGAGAAAACAAAAGUGAUUCCGUGAGUAGUGGCGAGCGAAAGCGGAUGAGGCUAAACCAUGCGCAUGUGAUACCGGGUAGGGGUUGUGUGUGUGGUGUUGUGGGGUUCAUCUUCUUCCAUCUGCCUGUGGAAGCGUGAGUCAGAAAAUCGUGUGUUAGGUGAAGUGGCCUGGAAUGGUCUGCCGUAGACGGUGAGAGUCCGGUAGCUGAAAACACAUGGUCUUGCGUGAUGUUCUCCCAAGUAGCAGCGGGCUCGUGGAAUCUGCUGUGAAUCUGCCGGGACCACCCGGUAAGCCUGAAUACUUCCUGGUGACCGAUAGCGGACAAGUACCGUGAGGGAAAGGUGAAAAGUACCCCGGGAGGGGAGUGAAAUAGUACCUGAAACCGGACGCUUACAAUCCGUCAGAGCCUGCGCCUUCGGGGUGGGUGAUGGCGUGCCUUUUGAAGAAUGAGCCUGCGAGUUAGUGCUCGGUGGCGAGGUUAACCCGUGUGGGGUAGCCGUAGCGAAAGCGAGUCUGAAUAGGGCGUUUGAGUCGCCGGGUCUAGACCCGAAGCGGAGUGAUCUACCCAUGGCCAGGGUGAAGCGACGGUAAGACGUCGUGGAGGCCCGAACCCACUUCAGUUGAAAAUGGAGGGGAUGAGCUGUGGGUAGGGGUGAAAGGCCAAUCAAACUCCGUGAUAGCUGGUUCUCCCCGAAAUGCAUUUAGGUGCAGCGUCACAUGUUUCUUACCGGAGGUAGAGCUACUGGAUGGCCGAUGGGCCCCACAGGGUUACUGACGUCAGCCAAACUCCGAAUGCCGGUAAGUGAGAGUGUGGCAGUGAGACUGCGGGCGAUAAGGUUCGUAGUCGAGAGGGAAACAGCCCAGAUCGCCGGCUAAGGCCCCUAAGCGUGUACUAAGUGGAAAAGGAUGUGGGGUCGCGAAGACAACCAGGAGGUUGGCUUAGAAGCAGCCACCCUUGAAAGAGUGCGUAAUAGCUCACUGGUCAAGUGAUCCUGCGCCGACAAUGUAGCGGGGCUCAAGUACACCGCCGAAGCCGCGGCACUCACACAAUAGCCCGUUCUCCGUUUACGGAUGGUGAACCAGGUGUGUGGGUGGGUAGGGGAGCGUCCUGCAUCCGUGGAAGCCACAGAGUGAUCUAGUGGUGGAGGGUGUGGGAGUGAGAAUGCAGGCAUGAGUAGCGAAAGCAGAGUGAGAAACUCUGCCGCCGAAUGACCAAGGGUUCCUGGGCCAGGCUAAUCCGCCCAGGGUGAGUCGGGACCUAAGGCGAGGCCGACAGGCGUAGUCGAUGGACAACGGGUUGAUAUUCCCGUACCCGUGUAUCCGCGCCCAUGCUGAAUCAGUUGUACUAACCAUCCAGAUCCCCCAGGAGCACCUUCGGGUGCCGGGUGGGGUGAUGCAUGGGACCUUGGCUGGUAGUAGGCAAGCGAUGGGGUGACGCAGGAAGGUAGUGGGGCCAGUCAGUGGUUGUACUGGUGUAAGCCUGUAGGGCGUGUUCUAGGCAAAUCCGGAACACAGUGAGCCUGAGAGGUGAUGCGUAGCCGUUGCGGUGAAUUCCAUGAUCCUAUGCUGCCGAGAAAAGCCUCUAGUGAGUUGGUACACGGCCCGUACCCCAAACCAACACAGGUGGUCAGGUAGAGAAUACUAAGGCGAUCGAGAGAACUGUGGUUAAGGAACUCGGCAAAAUGCCCCCGUAACUUCGGGAGAAGGGGGACCCAUCCUGGUGACGAGAUUUACUCUCUGAGCUGGUGUGGGUCGCAGAGACCAGAGAGAAGCGACUGUUUACUAAAAACACAGGUCCGUGCGAAGUCGUAAGACGAUGUAUACGGACUGACGCCUGCCCGGUGCUGGAAGGUUAAGAGGACCGGUUAGUUCCUUUCGGGGAGCGAAGCUGAGAAUUUAAGCCCCAGUAAACGGCGGUGGUAACUAUAACCAUCCUAAGGUAGCGAAAUUCCUUGUCGGGUAAGUUCCGACCUGCACGAAUGGCGUAACGACUUCUCUGCUGUCUCAACCACAGACUCGGCGAAAUUGCAGUACGAGUAAAGAUGCUCGUUACGCGCGGCAGGACGAAAAGACCCCGGGACCUUCACUAUAGCUUGGUAUUGGUGUUCGGUUCGGUUUGUGUAGGAUAGGUGGGAGACUGUGAAGUGGGCACGCCAGUGUUCAUGGAGUCGUUNNNNNNNNNNNNNNNNNNNNNNNNNNNNNNNNNNNNNNGUAACGGAGGCGCCCAAAGGUUCCCUCAGCCUGGUUGGCAAUCAGGUGUUGAGUGUAAGUGCACAAGGGAGCUUGACUGUGAGACGUACAUGUCGAGCAGGGACGAAAGUCGGGACUAGUGAUCCGGCACCGGCAAGUGGAAGCGGUGUCGCUCAACGGAUAAAAGGUACCCCGGGGAUAACAGGCUGAUCUUCCCCAAGAGUCCAUAUCGACGGGAUGGUUUGGCACCUCGAUGUCGGCUCGUCGCAUCCUGGGGCUGGAGUAGGUCCCAAGGGUUGGGCUGUUCGCCCAUUAAAGCGGCACGCGAGCUGGGUUUAGAACGUCGUGAGACAGUUCGGUCUCUAUCCGCCGCGCGCGUAAGAAACUUGAGGAAACCUGUCCCUAGUACGAGAGGACCGGGACGGACGAACCUCUGGUGUGCCAGUUGUCCCGCCAGGGGCACCGCUGGUUAGCUACGUUCGGAAGGGAUAACCGCUGAAAGCAUCUAAGCGGGAAGCCUGUUCCAAGAUGAGGUUUCUCACCCCCUUU